UAAAAAUUAAUGGAAUGCUUAAACAAAAUAAACUUGAUUCAAAAAAUAAAUGUAGAACUGUAUAAAAGCCUAGGCUUAGAAGAUGAUAAUUUAGCAGAAUUUCUAAUUUACCUUUGUGAAAAAUCGAAAAGUUUAGAAGAAUUUUGCAAGGAUGUCUUUGAAAAUGGUGGUGAAAUUGAGCGUAAUGUACUUAAGUACAUUUAUGAUAUGAUUAUAAAACUUAGGAGUGUAAAUUAUGACAAACCAAAAGAAAUAUCUGACGAACAGAUGACUGAAACUGGUGGUUUAACAAAAGAAGAAUUAAACAGAAUAGAAAAAAAAAAUGAAAAAAUGAAAAAAUAUGCAUGCUUGAGUAUAAAAAAUGAUGACACAUUAAUUAGUCAGUUAGAUAGAGAACCGAACGAAAAAACUGAAGACGCACACAGCAGAAGCGCAAGUAUAAACCUAGACAGUAAACAAAAAGACACAUAUACAUACGAACAAAAAGAUAAAAUAUUUAGUAAAUCAAAAUAUACUGCUAAAAGUGCUAGUAACUCUUCUUAUGAUAAAAAAAAAGAGCAAAAAAAAAGAAGUAGUAAAUGGGAGGAUGCAGAUGAUAACGUCUACGGGUUCAGUCGUAGGAGCAGUCAUAAAGACAGUCAUAAUGAUAGCCAUAAGGACAGCCACAAUGAUAAUAACAUUGACAGACAUCGAAAAAAUCAUAAAAGUGAAAAAAGAAAAAAAAAUGCUAACCGUGAAUCAUCAAGAGAGUAUGAUGAAAGAGUUAGAGACUACAAGCGAGAGAGAAGAGGACAUGGACGAGAGAGUAAACAGUCGGACGAACGUACCGGGUCUGAUAACAAUUUAAAAAUUAAUAACAUUUUUAACGGGACCAUUACGAGAGUAGUUGAUUUCGGAUUGUUUGUCUCUCUUCGAACGAAAGAUGGGUAUAAAGAAGGUCUAGUACAUACAAGUGACAUAUCACGAAACAAUAAACGAUUAGCUAUUAUACAUGAAAAUUUUAAAAGUGGUGAGAAAGUUAAAGUAAAAGUAAAAGCAAUAAUUGGAAAUAAAAUACGCUUAAAUAUGUCCGAAGUAGAUCAAAAAACAGGAGCAAACUUAGUAGACGAUAAUAUACAAAUAGAAGAUAAUAAAAAUAUAAAUACUAUUUCAUUAUUUGAUAAUAUAAAUUAUGAUACUAAUUUAAUUUAUAAUAAUAACCCGAAUGACAAUAUUAUAAAUAAUAAUUAUAAAAAUAAAAAAAACGAUAAAUUAGAAAAUAUAGACAAUCUUAAAGAAGUAAGAAAAUACGAAAGUGUUAUAAAAAUGCAUAGUGAUUACGCAAAAUGGGAAAUUCAACAAUUAAUGAAAAG
RNAcentral lists this long non-coding RNA (1352 nucleotides) under Piliocolobus tephrosceles (Ugandan red Colobus). Its description in RNAcentral is "lncRNA (ENSPTEG00000018790.1)". The record is from RNAcentral. Lineage: Eukaryota; Metazoa; Chordata; Mammalia; Primates; Cercopithecidae.